This 419-nucleotide ribosomal RNA is filed under the name Aoraki denticulata. Its description in RNAcentral is "partial 16S ribosomal RNA". The stretch from base 280 to 419 matches the Rfam family "Bacterial large subunit ribosomal RNA", at positions 2473 to 2612 of the family's 2925-position model. The record is from RNAcentral. Lineage: Eukaryota; Metazoa; Arthropoda; Arachnida; Opiliones; Pettalidae.
UAAAUUGUUCAUUAAUUGUGAACUGGAAUGAAGGAAAAAAUAGUUUAUAUCUGUCUUAGAAUAUAUAAAUUGAAUUUAAAUUUUUUGUAAAAAUGCAAAAAUAUUUUUUAGGGACAAGAAGACCCUAUAAAGCUUUAUUGAUUUUGUUUAUAUAUUUUAAACUAAAUUCAUUUGAUUGGGGCAAUAAUUUAUAUAUAAUCAAUAUAAAUUUAAUUGAAAAUUUUAUUAUUUUAGAAUAAUGAUCCAUUAAUAAUGAAAAAAUGAUUAAGUUACUUUAGGGAUAACAGGAUAAUUUUUAUUAGAAAGUUCUUAUUAAUAAUAAAGUUUAUUACCUCGAUGUUGAAUUAAUUUAAUUUAAUGGUGAAGUAACUUUUUGAGUUUGACUGUUCGUCAAUUAAAUAAUUACAUGAUCUGAGUUC